Molecule: non-coding RNA, 3953 nt
Organism: Vicugna pacos (alpaca)
Lineage: Eukaryota; Metazoa; Chordata; Mammalia; Artiodactyla; Camelidae
Source: RefSeq, a predicted model, not a curated record
AGGAAAGGAAGAAGGUGUUUGAGAACGAACACCCCCCCAGCCCUGCGAAGAGGCACCCCAAGUCGGGGGGGAGGGGGUAGACGGAGUCUCUCACACAAGAUGUUAUCAGGAGAGGCACGUCUUCUGCAGCUGUAAUUUAUACACUCACGUUUUUGGAAAGAUUUCAAUGUCUCCCCCCAAUAUAGAUGGGCUUAAAGAGUUCUGUGAACCAUGGAUGCAGUCUGGCUGGGCUACAGAACUGUUAUCCUUUAAGGUAGAAAAAUGAGCUUAGGAAAAUGAUCCCUCCCCAUCAGAUCUGUAGGUGUUCAGGGAAGUCUGUUACACAGCGGCUUUGGAUUCCGUAUUGUCCCCUUGAAAACUUCCCUGCCUUGAACUUGGUAAAGCAAACGUCUCUAGUUUUCCCAAAUUCGUAAGAGAAUGAAUAAAACUGGGCAAAAUAUCAAGUAUAUCUAUUUUAAUUUUUCAUAGUUUCCAAAGAUGAUGAGAAUGAAAGGCUAAUGGUCUUUUGGUACCCUGCAUGGUCCUGGCUGCUGGCCACUCCUCCAUCCUCACCAUCACACUCUGCCCUUCCUCCUCCAAGGAUUCUGGCCAUGCUCAUUUCUGCUUCCGGAAUUUUGUGCAGCGCUGGGCCUCUUCCUGGGGUCUCUUCCUGCGCUGCACACCACCUCUCCCCUCCCACCCCACAACAACUCUUGCAAUGAACUCGGCUCUCCCGGACCUUAAACGCCAUGAGGUGGGGUUGGCACAGGGCAGAAUUCCAUAGGUAGUUGUUGAAGGAGGGAGGUGAUGAGCUGAGACCAAGGAGAGGCUUUGGGUUUACUGUUGUGUUUGCAACACAUUUGAAAGCCGUUAAAAAUUUCAAUUGAGUAAAAUUUUUUAAAAAAUGUCAAAAAACGUCAAAAGCUCUGUUCAUCCGGAGAGCUGUUUUUCAAAAGCUUAAACUCCUUCCCUUCCCUGCCUCUGCCCAUCCCCCACCCCAGUCUCCAUCCCCAUCCCAGCCCUGCUGUCUAACAGCAAGGCACGUGCGCGUGCGCCUGGACACCACGCGGUAGCCUGAGCCCCCGCCGCGUGUUGUGAUUCUGUCUGUGGGGUUGGUGCCAUUCUCUCCCCCAUUUUACAGAUGAAGAAGCAGAGGCCCGAGAGAGCGAGAGAGCUGUGUUCAAGGUCGCCCAGCCAGCGAGUGUGAGAGUUGAGUUCAAGGCUGCACAGCUCGCCCCGCACUGCUUCUUAGAAAGGAAAGCGACUUCUGAAGCCGCCGUCGUGCCAGAGGCCGGCAGGGGGGCCAAGUGCGUGGCCGUGGCCCUGCUUCCACAUUCGAUUCAUAAUGAUCUCGGUUUCCUUGCUCGUGGUCUGCUGCAAGCAUCCCGCUGGAAGGAAUCCAAGAGGACUUUAAGAGGAUGGCACCGUGACAACAGAAGUGACGGCUGACAGCCUGACACGGGGGAUGGAGACAAAACUCAAAGGCAGUCUGGAGACUGUGUACCAGGUUAUCCAGAGGAGCACAGAGCACAUGUGUGAUGCAGAACACACAGAAUUGCCCAAGGACUGCAUCCUUGAGAAGAGUUUUCAAGCUACUAAUUUUCAUUGAAAGGCAAAGAAUGAAGAUGCUGUGAGUGACUGGGACUGGAGCAGGGACUAUGGCCUUUGUGGGGACUCGAAUCCUGGCUCCUCCAUGGAUGGAAUCUUCCCAUUUGUUGGACUUAAGCCUGUUCUUUGGCCUCACAGUCUUGGGAAGAGUGUCAACAAAUUGUCUCCUGGGUACAUGUUUCAGUUUGUGAAGUGAUUUGAAAUCUGAGUUGUAAAAAAGGUGAAGCCCUGUGUAGCUUUUAUCUUUCAGUGAACUACUAGGGGUGUCUCCUCAGGAAACUUCCCCUCCUUCUCCUUCCCAGGAGGCCUCAGUUUCCCCUGGGGUCCCCAGGGCGGAAGGAAACUAACUCCAACCCUGGCUUCAGGUGUGGAAUAGGAGACGUCACCUGAGCUGUCAAUUCAUCCAUCCUGGGGGCCACAGUUGUUGGUUUAGAGACAGAAAGGUGACCUAAGCAGUCUCAGGGUGACUCUCAAAAUAUUUGCUGGGAAUUCUGGGCCAUGGGCAACACACAGUGAAGAUGAGAGGCCUGGAUCCUUUGCAGCCAUUUUGCUGCCACGAGGGAAAACAGACAGUCAAAGAGGAUUAAUAGAGGGGCAGGACUGGGAGAAUGACAAGAGGAUGGAGCCAGACCCCUGGAUGAAGCUUACCUGGGAACCUGCCCAACUCUGAUCUCUUAGGCACGUGAGCCAAGAAUAUUCUCUUCUUCUAAACCAGUUAGAAUUGGAUUGGAUUAAGGGUCCUGACUGAGAUGCACAUAAACUCAUUUUCCUUGUGUGCCCUGAGACACGAGCUCCCCUCCACACCUGUCCCCCUCCCCUGUCCCCCUCCCCCCUCCAGUUUUCAGUGAAGGGGACUAGAUGGUCUUACCUUUCUCUGUGUGUCCUCUUUGCAGUGUGUUCUGGUUAACAGAAACCCCCUAAGUUUUGAUCUGAGACAAUGGGCAGAGCCCAGUGGGCUGUGCUCAGCCCCCGGCCCGAACUGACGCCCGCUGCUCGCCUGUGGUGCUGGUGGAGGUGGGGCUUCUGUAGAGCCAACAAAUGUAGCCUCCGUGUUACUCUUCCUUAUGCCCAGUUUUCUAGUGCAAGUUCCUUCUUUUUCUUACCUGUCUGAGGAUAACGUUUACAUAUUAACAUUACUCUCUUUAAUAUAUGUUGCAAAGAUGCUUUCCUCACUUGUGAUUGGUCAGUUUUACUUGUUCAUGGGUUUUUUUCCCCUUGUGUCGAAGUUUUACUUUUCUACGUAACCAAAUUUAGUAGUCUUAAAAAAAAAAACAAGACGUGUGAAUUUAUUCAGUUUAACAAGGGUAAAACAAAAUAUUUGCUUCAAGUUUUAAAAUUUUUUACAUGAAAUAUAAACAAAAGAUGGUAUUGAUCCCCUUGUCACCCAAUACCCAGGCUGGUUCACCUCCCUCCACAUGUACAAUUCCUAUGGUGGAUUUUGUACAAUCCUAUGAGGUCAUAAUGAACAUUUUGCUUGGAAAAGCAGAUAAUUAUAAAAGGUAUCUGCUAUUGUUUUCUGUGCACUUGAAAAUUCAUAAAUCAUGUCGUAAUUUUAUUUGGUAAAUUGUUAUUUAAAUUCAGCAUCAUGUCAAGAUGAAUCCAUGUUGGUACAUAAAUAUACAUAAUUUAUUUUUAAAACAUAUGCAUUAAUGAAUGUUUGGGUUUUUCCUAAUUGUAACUAAUGCAAAUAACGUGAUAAACUUUCGCUGCUGUCUUUAUGGGUUUCUCCAGGCAUGUUCCUGCGUAUGAAGUUUCUGGGUUGUAGGAAAUGUGCAUUCUUGGGUCUCUCAGGUACUGAGAGCUUUGCUUCUCCGAGGGGCUGUGUCAGCUGUACUUGCACCUGGGAGUAUGGGAUGUCCCACUUUCUAAAUCUCUGCCGAUAUUUGAUGUUCUCAGACUUUUAGAUUUUUGCCAUUCUGGAGGGUGUACAUUCUCAUUUUGGUUUUAAUCUUUAUUUCCUUCAGUAUUAAUGUGAAGGAACAGUUUUUAUGAUGUUUAAUUGGUUUUCCUGAUUUUUCUCAUUUGUGAAAGCCUGUGUUUUGUGCAUUUGUCUAUUGAAUUAUUUGUCUUUUUCUUAUUGAUUUGUAGGUCUUCUUUACAUAGGCUGGCUCCUAAUCUCUUUGUCUAUUAAUUCUGCCAACCUUUGUCUUCCUGGUUUCUGCAUUUACAAAAGCCUUUCUUAUCCCCAUAAGACACAAAUACCUGUUUGAUCAUUUUUAUAUUUUUAAAUAUUUAAAUCUUUUAAACAUUGGAAGUUAAAUUUGACAAAUUGUAUAAAGAAUGUAUCUAAAUGUUUCUUGUUCGAAUAAAUAGCCAAUUUUCCCAGUAGCAGUCAUUGAAGUAUUUUUCCUGCUGAUUUGCAUUAC